GACGAACGCGGCGGCGUGCUUAACACAUGCAAGUCGAACGGUAAGGCUCCAGCUUGCUGGGGUACACGAGUGGCGAACGGGUGAGUAACACGUGGGUGACCUGCCCUGCACUUCGGGAUAAGCCUGGGAAACUGGGUCUAAUACCGGAUAGGACCGCACCGUGAGGGUGUGGUGGAAAGUUUUUUCGGUGUGGGAUGGGCCCGCGGCCUAUCAGCUUGUUGGUGGGGUAAUGGCCUACCAAGGCGGCGACGGGUAGCCGGCCUGAGAGGGUGGGCGGCCACAUUGGGACUGAGACACGGCCCAGACUCCUACGGGAGGCAGCAGUGGGGAAUAUUGCACAAUGGGCGGAAGCCUGAUGCAGCGACGCCGCGUGGGGGAUGACGGCCUUCGGGUUGUAAACUCCUUUCACCAUCGACGAAGGGUUUCUGACGGUAGAUGGAGAAGAAGCACCGGCUAACUACGUGCCAGCAGCCGCGGUAAUACGUAGGGUGCGAGCGUUGUCCGGAAUUACUGGGCGUAAAGAGCUCGUAGGUGGUUUGUCGCGUCGUCUGUGAAAUUCCGGGGCUUAACUCCGGGCGUGCAGGCGAUACGGGCAUAACUUGAGUACUGUAGGGGAGACUGGAAUUCCUGGUGUAGCGGUGAAAUGCGCAGAUAUCAGGAGGAACACCGGUGGCGAAGGCGGGUCUCUGGGCAGUAACUGACGCUGAGGAGCGAAAGCAUGGGGAGCGAACAGG
RNAcentral lists this ribosomal RNA (734 nucleotides) under uncultured Corynebacterium sp. RNAcentral describes it as "bacterial SSU rRNA". It matches the Rfam family "Bacterial small subunit ribosomal RNA", at positions 28 to 776 of the family's 1533-position model. Lineage: Bacteria; Bacillati; Actinomycetota; Actinomycetes; Mycobacteriales; Corynebacteriaceae. The record is from RNAcentral.